CUACUUAUAAUAGUCUUACACGAUUGGAAGAAAUAAACUAUGCUAAUAAUUAGGAAACAAACAACAACCCACUAACAAUUAGGAAACAAACAACCCACUAAGCUUAACUUCAUGGCUAUAUUAAAUGGAACAAACAAACAGACUGAGUCCACACCACUAUCCUCCGUGUUGACUUUAGAAGAUAACCACAAACAUUGGAAUCAUUUGCAUGGCUUGGUUGCAUGGCUGGCUUUGUGAAUGGUGGACAAAUACACCCACAUUUCCACUCCC
This 270-nucleotide long non-coding RNA is filed under the name Olea europaea (common olive). RNAcentral describes it as "long non-coding RNA (OEUR_LNC006391)". Lineage: Eukaryota; Viridiplantae; Streptophyta; Magnoliopsida; Lamiales; Oleaceae. The record is from RNAcentral.